Molecule: ribosomal RNA, 217 nt
Filed under: uncultured bacterium
Lineage: Bacteria
Description: partial 16S ribosomal RNA
Rfam family: Bacterial small subunit ribosomal RNA
Source: RNAcentral
GACGUAGGGCGCAAGCGUUGUCCGGAUUUAUUGGGCGUAAAGAGCUCGUAGGCGGCUUGUUGCGUCGACCGUGAAAACCCACGGCUCAACUGUGGGCUUGCAUUCGAUACGGGCAGGCUAGAGUUCGGUAGGGGAGACUGGAAUUCCUGGUGUAGCGGUGGAAUGCGUAGAGAUCCGGAGGAAGACCGGUGGCGAAGGCGGCCUGCUGGGCAGUUAC